AGCCACGGCUAACUACGUGCCAGCAGCCGCGGUAAUACGUAGGUGGCAAGCGUUGUCCGGAUAUUGGGCGUAAAGCGCGCGCAAGGCGGUUUUCUUAAGUCUGAUGUGCCCAGCCCCCGGCUCAACCGGGGAGGGUCAUUGGAAACUGGGGAACUUGAGUGCAGAAGAGGAGAGUGGAAUUCCACGUGUAGCGGUGAAAUGCGUAGAGAUGUGGAGGAACACCAGUGGCGAAGGCGACUCUCUGGUCUGUAACUGACGCUGAGGCGCGAAAGCGUGGGGAGCGAACAGGAUUAGAUACCCUGGUAGUCCACGCCGUAAACGAUGAGUGCUAAGUGUUAGAGGGUUUCCGCCCUUUAGUGCUGCAGCAAACGCAUUAAGCACUCCGCCUGGGGAGUACGGUCGCAAGACUGAAACUCAAAGGAAUUGACGGGGGCCCGCACAAGCGGUGGAGCAUGUGGUUUAAUUCGAAGCAACGCGAAGAACCUUACCAGGUCUUGACAUCCUCUGACAACCCUAGAGAUAGGGCUUCCCCUUCGGGGGCAGAGUGACAGGUGGUGCAUGGUUGUCGUCAGCUCGUGUCGUGAGAUGUUGGGUUAAGUCCCGCAACGAGCGCAACCCUUGAUCUUAGUUGCCAGCAUUCAGUUGGGCACUCUAAGGUGACUGCCGGUGACAAACCGGAGGAAGGUGGGGAUGACGUCAAAUCAUCAUGCCCCUUAUGACCUGGGCUACACACGUGCUACAAUGGGCAGAACAAAGGGCAGCGAAGCCGCGAGGCUAAGCCAAUCCCACAAAUCUGUUCUCAGUUCGGAUCGCAGUCUGCAACUCGACUGCGUGAAGCUGGAAUCGCUAGUAAUCGCGGA
Molecule: ribosomal RNA, 860 nt
Filed under: Bacillus aerius
Lineage: Bacteria; Bacillati; Bacillota; Bacilli; Caryophanales; Bacillaceae
Description: bacterial SSU rRNA
Rfam family: Bacterial small subunit ribosomal RNA
Source: RNAcentral